This is a long non-coding RNA of Octodon degus (degu), 256 nucleotides long. RefSeq lists it as uncharacterized. The transcript is spliced from 3 exons. The record is from RefSeq and is a predicted model, not a curated record. NCBI's taxonomy places the organism in Eukaryota, Metazoa, Chordata, Mammalia, Rodentia, Octodontidae.
ACACCAAGCAGAAAAGCAUGAUAACUGUUGCAAGCAAUCUUGUUGUUUCAAACAUUUUCUUCAGCUGCUUCACAGGUCCCAUUAAAAAGCACAUACUGGCUAAUGCUGCAAGAUUUCCAAGGGUUUAAAACACUGCAAAAAGCUUUAUGCCACCAGGAAGCCACAGCAAGCCGGUUCCAAGGAUAGAAAAGAAAAUGCCAGCCACGAAGCAUAUGACAAACCACUUCAAUCUGGUGUUGAAACUAAGAGAUGAAGC